UACAGAGGGUGCAAACGUUGCUCGGAAUCAUUGGGCGUAAAGCGCAUGUAGGCGGCACGGUAAGUCGACUGUGAAAGCCCUUGGCUCAACCAAGGAAGUGCAGUCGAAACUGCCGAGCUCGAGUUCUGAAGAGGGUCGCGGAAUGGCCAGUGUAGAGGUGAAAUUCGUAGAUAUUCGCAAGAACACCAGUGGCGAAGGCGGCUCACUGGCCCGGUACUGACGCUGAGGUGCGAAAGCGUGGGGAGCAAACAGG
Molecule: ribosomal RNA, 253 nt
Filed under: uncultured bacterium
Lineage: Bacteria
Description: partial 16S ribosomal RNA
Rfam family: Bacterial small subunit ribosomal RNA
Source: RNAcentral